GCACGAAGAAUAGUUAGAAGCAGUCGAAACAAUGCUUCAGUGAAACAUUUCUUGGAGUUUUGCUAAAGCAAAUUCAGACUUGAAUAUUCUUCUGGUAAACACCAAAUGGUCACCAAGUCCGACUGAGAAAGUACGAACAAAUGUUGGUGUUUUAGGUCGAAUUGAUUCGCAUAAGUUAUAAAGUGGUUAUGGUUCUCGAUGGAGUGAUUACUAUUCCUAUGAGGCUGAGCAACACAUAAAAACGAACAAUUUUUGCUUCGCAGCUGUAAAGUUAUGUAACUUUGGUGAAAAUCCAACUUCCGUUGAGCUGCUUGCACAGUUUAAUAAAAUGUUCAAAAAACUUUCUAAACAAAAAUCAUCAAGAAGUUGAAGAAGUUGAGAAACGCGUUUUCUCUUCCUCCACAUUGUCUACAUGACAAUUUACAAAAGAAAACACAAAAUACUGCUCUUGAACAAAGCUUGUAUCAAAAUAACUCGUGUAUUCAUGGACAAGUCACUAAUUUGUUCUAAUGGCUGGUUUGAAACAUUUUUCCUGAGCAUUUUUCUGGCUAAGAUUACGAUUGCUGCCUUGACCAAUCGAUUUCAAAGACAAGAAAAUCUAUCACGAUGAAUGAAAUCACGCCAUUAUCGAACGCCCAAAUUUCGACAAUAUUUGAUUUUAAAUUUUUCGGCGUAAAAACAUGGAACUUUCUUCGCGUGAAAAUAUAAAACUUGAGAAUCCUAAUUUUCCGACUGGCUGUCAACAUUUCCUGUCUUAUGCCGUAUGCGACAUGCACAUUUGCAAGAAAUGGCCAAUCUUGCUCCUGUGCUUGCCGUCGUCGACAUGAAACACGGGAGUGUUCAUCAGGUAGCCUGAAAG
This is a long non-coding RNA of Xenia sp. Carnegie-2017, 859 nucleotides long. RefSeq lists it as uncharacterized. NCBI's taxonomy places the organism in Eukaryota, Metazoa, Cnidaria, Anthozoa, Malacalcyonacea, Xeniidae. The transcript has 4 exons. The record is from RefSeq and is a predicted model, not a curated record.